UCACUUCAGCAGUAUAUAUACUAAAAUUGGACUAAUACAGAGAUUAGCAUGAUCCCUACACAUAGAUAACACUCAAAUUCAUUAAGUGUUCCAUUAAAAA
RNAcentral lists this small nuclear RNA (100 nucleotides) under Zalophus californianus (California sea lion). The record is from RNAcentral. Lineage: Eukaryota; Metazoa; Chordata; Mammalia; Carnivora; Otariidae.